Protopterus annectens (West African lungfish) is the source of this 3913-nucleotide long non-coding RNA. RefSeq lists it as uncharacterized. Lineage: Eukaryota; Metazoa; Chordata; Ceratodontiformes; Protopteridae. The transcript is spliced from 2 exons. The record is from RefSeq and is a predicted model, not a curated record.
UAUCUGUGCAUUUUAUUAGAGGUUAUAUAGUCAGAAAUCCAUGUAAAAAUAGGUAUCUUAUAUAAACAUUUCCAAUUAAUUAUACAUACAUGGCAAAGCUGUCAAUCAUACAAGAUCUGACUUGUGUAUUGGCAUACUUCAUUCUCUGUAGGGCAAUACAGAAUACAGUCCACCAACUAUCACUACCUUGUAAUCUGAAACUGUUACAGCUACAAGCAGGACAAAAUUCAAUUCAGCAAAAAACCAACAGCAAUAAAGCAACUGUGACCAACUAACUUAUUCUUACCUUAAAAGACUUUAGAUUCCAAGUGAACUGGACAGAGAAGACAGGUCACCUGGAAUAAGCCUCAAGGAAACAGACUAAACUCAGUCACAUGGCUGUCUGAAAGUUAUUACAUACAGUGUAUAGUAGAAUAUUUUUAAUAUGAUUUUAAUAAAAAAAUAUUUUCUUGUCUUAGAUUAACCCUUCAGGUUGCUUAGUGAUUCAAGAAGUUGGUAAUCAGGGAAUGCAAUGUGAAAUCUAAUGAUUUUUUUUUUGUGUUGUGGGCGAAUGUACUUGACUCCCUAACUCAGACAGUAAAUAACUAUUUUUUUUGUUUACACUGCAUUUUUAUUAACAGAUUAUCAUCCCUUUUACUAUAUGACGUGCUAGACAGCGUGCUGAGAUGGAUAGCAAGAUGAUCCUCAUUUACAGAGAUUACAAUUAAAAUGGCAUUCCAUCUCACAUGUAGAAUUUGGGGCAAUAAUGGAAAACACAGGACCAUGCGCGAGUCACGUUCAAGAAUGAAGAUGUUAGUAUUGCCUACAUCACUACAAACACCAAUACAACACUUGGGAAGAUUUUUUUUUUUUUUUUAUCCAAGUUAACAGAAUACCAGUAUGAAAUUUUACAAACAUUAAAGAAGUAUUAAACUGUAAUGUCUGGCAGACUGACUGUACACCUUGGUUACUUUCCAGAAAAGCAACAAUUUCAGGAGGGGCAGGGCAAAAAAAAUCACAGACAUUAAACUUCAACAGUACAACAUGGUUUGCAAUCAAGACACUUUUUGAACUAGGAAGCUUUAAUGUCUAACAUUGACUAACCGUUCAUUUUUAGUGGUUUACCAGAAAAAUCAAAUGUUUUAUGAGGGACAGGGCAAAAUCAAGAUCGCUCUGUAGAAACGCACAGACAUAGGAAUGCUUACAUUAGUACCUCUCAACUGUACAGCUUUUCGCAGAAUGUCCAGAUUAUGCCCCAUAUUUUUGGUCCGUUUCUCACAGAAUUGUGGUUUUCUGGCAAAUUGAGGGGUGAAGUCAGAAAAAGAUGAUUAAAUUUUGAGUUUCUAACUUCAUACCCUUGAGAAAAUUCAUACUAAUGCAAAACCUGUUACUCUAUCAAAUUUCUAGGUUUGUACGAGCAAUAUUUAAAAAGUGUCCCCAUUUUUGGCCCUUCGUCACCCCUUUACUUAUAGCUUUUUCCAGAUUUCUUGCUCUAAGAAGGUGAAAGGUAUGAUUAGCCUUUUAAGUGAAGCAUCGCUACUGAUCUUUUUAAACCUGUUCACAGAUUUUUUUUUUUUGACGUGACUUUUUAUAAAAUACUGUGUGAUACGGUUUAGCUUGUUAAAAGCAACAGUGAGCAGCUGUCAAAGUGCGCUAAUGCUGUAACAUUCUAAGCAGCACACAAACACUACUGCAAGUCCAGUGUUCUCCAUUAAUGCCAAAUUUUGUAUCACGAAGAAACUGCAACCCCCUGUGCGCUGCAUGUCUUUAUCUGUGCACUUAAAAUUCAGUAGCUGGCACAUUACAGUCAUUACACCGUUAUUCACUACACCGAUUACAGGUACAAAACAAUUCCAGAUAAAAGUGCUUGCCUUAUUUUUGGGGUAUUCUAGCACUGACACUUGCUUGAAAAAAAAUAAAUAACAUGUUCGGUGCUGGCCAGACUGCAGUGCAAAUACUUGGUGCUGGCCAGACUGCAGUGCAAAUACUUGCAGCUGCUGCUUUUUGGAAAUUUGUACCAAAGUGGGGUGGUCAAUGUAACGGAAAUAGAAGUUAUGUUCUUACCAUAACGUUCCAUGUUAGUUGUCUUCUUCUCGCCUUCUUCUUGCUGGAUGGACAACAUAACAUUUUUCCCUUUACCUGAAGGAGCACAGACCUCACACCUGGACAAAAUAGAUGGGAGGUGCAAAGAGCAGGGCCCUCUGCCAGGUGUGAUAUGUAUGGGUGUUUGUUUGGAGGGAACUUGGCCAACUAAGACAACCAUUUUGCUUUUCUUCAUGAAUCCUGUUUUGUCCUGUUUUGUCUUGAUGAUGUCAUAUACAAAUUUAUUUGAAAUGUUCCUGACCAACUGAUCUUGUUAUGGAUUUACAACAUCAGGUCAACAGUAUUUUGGGAUGAAAUGACACAGUUGAAAUACCUUUUCCUUUGGGGGGGGGGGGUGCAUGCCAAUACUUAAUAUAUUAUUAACUCUGAGGAGGUCACUACAAGUUUGCUUGCUUGGCAGUCUAAUCAUCACAUUCUCAUUUUGAACCAAAUGUCCUAUUCCUGCCAAGUCUCUACUGGUAGCCAUACUUGCUUAUUAUUGUUUACUGUAUAGGUUAUAGUGACCGUGACAUUGCACUAGUAAGUAGCCCAAACUUACUUGCAGAAACUAAUGAGGAAACAUGAAGUUAAGUACUGCUAUGUUUAUAUCAAUCUGCUCCAGCAGACUUAGGGAUCCACUAACACACAAAACUAAAAUAAACAUGGCAAUACUUCUUAAAUGUACGCUAUUUAAAACGAGUCUGCUUUGGAGUCAUAAUUAAUGCAAUUGCAUUCUAUUAGCUUAUAACAAUACUCAGUAAAGGUCAUCUCUGCUAUAAAUCAGAAAGUUUCCAAAAGCAUGCUUUUGCAAUAUCGAAAUAACCUUGGUACAAGGGAGCAGAAAUGUCUCCUUAAUAUAAAUUCUAGCAUUUGCCAGGCUUUAUAAUCUAAAAGCACAAAAGCAUGCCUCAUAAAUGAACAGAAAUACAGCUUAGAAGAACGUAUCACUAAAUUAAAAACACUCUUAGAAAUUCUAAUUAUAAAUUAAGCAGGAUGAGGCAACCAAAAAACGAGGCGAUCAAAACAGAAAGUUAUGUGCCCAGUCUGAUAAAAAGACCUACACAUAAUUUAAUUACAGGGAUGCUUCAAUAUUUAAAAAUGCAUAUAGUUUAAAUUAGUUAAAUAAAAGCUUUUACUAACUAUUUAAGCCCUAAGCUAUGCAGAGCAUCAGUACACCGACGUACUUGGUACCAUAUGCACAUUACAACCAUCUCUUUUGGGUUCUACUUAUCACAUCCUAAGGUCAGUCCAAGAUGACAUCCAGAUAAUAUGCUGGUCACAUUUACAGAAAGGAGCUGCAGUUCCUGCCAGACAAUGCAACUUUACCCAAAAGCAACCAAGUAAGGGCAGAGCUGUCGUGACGAACAGGUUGUCUGACAUACACACUUUAAAUGCCUUACACUGUCCAUUAAUUACUCUGGCCAGUUUAAGGGACAGAACACAAGGUAGAAGAACCUCUCUGUCUUUCUUCAAUGCAGUCAAUCAUGGGAAAAAAAAUCCAGCUGUAGUUUCUAAACCUGUGGUUCUAAACAUUUUGCACUACAAUGUAACAAACAGUAAAAAGGCUGAAUUAAUUUAACCAGUCUGAAAGACUUGUCUAAUUUGUAUGUAAUUCAACAUCAGCAACAACUACACAUCAGACAGCCACACUAUUACGUUAGUGUCGAAACAGCAUAUGUAGUAAAAAUUACAUAAUACAAACUCCUUGGAUAUUUGUGUCUGUGUGUGUGCGUGUACACUUAGACAUUUGAUGCAUUGUGUUUUGUUGUAAACUGCAGAAAACUGCCUGCCUGCAGAAUUCACAAUUUAAACUAACACCAAACUUGGCUUUAGUUUUUUAACCAAUUGAAAU